AUGCAACCUGCCCGCCACAGGGGGAAGCCCGCCGAAAGGCGGAUUAAUACCCCAUGGGCCUCGGCCCCCGCAUGGGGCGCCGGGGUAAAGGAGCGAUCCGGUGGCGGAUGGGCAUGCGUGCCAUUAGCUGGCUGGCGGGGUAACGGCCCACCAGGGCGACGAUGGCUAGGGGGCCUGAGAGGGUGGUCCCCCACACUGGUACUGAGACACGGACCAGACUCCUACGGGAGGCAGCAGUGAGGAAUAUUGGUCAAUGGGCGGAAGCCUGAACCAGCCAUGCCGCGUGCAGGAAGACGGCCCUACGGGUUGUAAACUGCUUUUCCGGGGGAAGAAUAAUCCCGACGAGUCGGGAGAUGCCGGUACCCCGGGAAUAAGGAUCGGCUAACUCCGUGCCAGCAGCCGCGGUAAUACGGAGGAUCCGAGCGUUAUCCGGAUUUACUGGGUUUAAAGGGUGCGUAGGCGGGCGCUUAAGUCAGCGGUGAAAGGCGGCGGCUCAACCGUCGGACGGCCGUUGAUACUGGGCGCCUUGGAUGCGGUCGAGGCGGGU
This 547-nucleotide ribosomal RNA is filed under the name uncultured bacterium. RNAcentral's name for it is "bacterial SSU rRNA". It matches the Rfam family "Bacterial small subunit ribosomal RNA", at positions 119 to 662 of the family's 1533-position model. The record is from RNAcentral.